Molecule: ribosomal RNA, 523 nt
Filed under: uncultured bacterium
Lineage: Bacteria
Description: bacterial SSU rRNA
Rfam family: Bacterial small subunit ribosomal RNA
Source: RNAcentral
UACUAAGAACUUUCCAGAGAUGGAUUGGUGCCUUCGGGAACUUAGAUACAGGUGCUGCAUGGCUGUCGUCAGCUCGUGUCGUGAGAUGUUGGGUUAAGUCCCGCAACGAGCGCAACCCUUUUCCUUAUUUGCCAGCGGGUCAUGCCGGGAACUUUAAGGAUACUGCCAGUGACAAACUGGAGGAAGGCGGGGACGACGUCAAGUCAUCAUGGCCCUUACGGCCAGGGCUACACACGUGCUACAAUGGUCGGUACAAAGGGUUGCUACCUCGCGAGAGGAUGCUAAUCUCAAAAAGCCGAUCGUAGUCCGGAUCGCAGUCUGCAACUCGACUGCGUGAAGUCGGAAUCGCUAGUAAUCGCGGAUCAGAAUGCCGCGGUGAAUACGUUCCCGGGCCUUGUACACACCGCCCGUCACACCAUGGGAGUUUGUUGCACCAGAAGUAGGUAGUCUAACCGCAAGGAGGACGCUUACCACGGUGUGGCCGAUGACUGGGGUGAAGUCGUAACAAGGUAGGCGUAGAUGA